This 253-nucleotide ribosomal RNA is filed under the name uncultured bacterium. RNAcentral describes it as "partial 16S ribosomal RNA". It matches the Rfam family "Bacterial small subunit ribosomal RNA", at positions 524 to 776 of the family's 1533-position model. The record is from RNAcentral.
GACGGAGGGUGCAAGCGUUGCUCGGAAUCACUGGGCGUAAAGCGCACGUAGGCGGCUUUUUAAGUCGGUGGUGAAAUCCUGGAGCUCAACUCCAGAACUGCCUCCGAUACUGAAAGGCUCGAGUCCGGGAGAGGUGAGUGGAACUGCGAGUGUAGAGGUGAAAUUCGUAGAUAUUCGCAAGAACACCAGUGGCGAAGGCGGCUCACUGGCCCGGUACUGACGCUGAGGUGCGAAAGCGUGGGGAGCAAACAGG